AGACCCGAAACCCGGUGAUCUAGCCAUGGGCAGGUUGAAGGUUGGGUAACACUAACUGGAGGACCGAACCGACUAAUGUUGAAAAAUUAGCGGAUGACCUGUGGCUGGGGGUGAAAGGCCAAUCAAACCGGGAGAUAGCUGGUUCUCCCCGAAAGCUAUUUAGGUAGCGCCUCGUGAAUUCAUCUCCGGGGGUAGAGCACUGUUUCGGCUAGGGGGCCAUCCCGGCUUACCAACCCGAUGCAAACUGCGAAUACCGGAGAAUGUUAUCACGGGAGACACACGGCGGGUGCUAACGUCCGUCGUGAAGAGGGAAACAACCCAGACCGCCAGCUAAGGUCCCAAAGUCAUGGUUAAGUGGGAAACGAUGUGGGAAGGCCCAGACAGCCAGGAUGUUGGCUUAGAAGCAGCCAUCAUUUAAAGAAAGCGUAAUAGCUCACUGGUCGAGUCGGCCUGCGCGGAAGAUGUAACGGGGCUAAACCAUGCACCGAAGCUGCGGCAGCGACACUGUGUGUUGUUGGGUAGGGGAGCGUUCUGUAAGCCUGUGAAGGUGUGUCGUGAGGCAUGCU
RNAcentral lists this ribosomal RNA (566 nucleotides) under Salmonella enterica. Its description in RNAcentral is "partial 23S ribosomal RNA". It matches the Rfam family "Bacterial large subunit ribosomal RNA", at positions 711 to 1274 of the family's 2925-position model. The record is from RNAcentral. RNAcentral also lists the same sequence under 3 other names. Lineage: Bacteria; Pseudomonadati; Pseudomonadota; Gammaproteobacteria; Enterobacterales; Enterobacteriaceae.